RNAcentral lists this long non-coding RNA (1055 nucleotides) under Anolis carolinensis (green anole). RNAcentral's name for it is "lncRNA (ENSACAG00000035544.1)". The record is from RNAcentral. Lineage: Eukaryota; Metazoa; Chordata; Lepidosauria; Squamata; Anolidae.
UAAAUGGUCAAUAUAAUGUUGGAAGUCACCACUUAGAAAAUGUUAAAAUAGAUCGAUACUUUUAGAAGACGUGAUUUGAAUAUUCCUCUCCAUCCCCUUUAAAUUUGACCCAAUAUUACAUAGAUAACGAUGACAAUAAUUGUAAAAAAACAAAACAAAAACAAAACCCUUUAAUGUCAUAACAUAUAUUGAAAACAGGUUUGUUUCUGCUUUUUUUACCAGUAUAAUAAAUUUUAUUGAAUAAUUGUGAAUUUUACAUAUUCGGUACUUAAAACUUCUUAUACAUUCUUUAACAAAUUUGCAGUACAAAAUUAUGUAUAUCAUAGCUCCUAUAGUAUUAUCACUCUCUAACUAUAUUACAUACUCAUAUUAUUUACCUUUUGUUACCCUUCACCUAAGGUUUGUUUCUGCUUUUUUUACCAGUAAAUUGUUCUUCCUCAUUUAAAAUAUUUGUUAUCUUUCGGUACUUAAAACUUCUUAUACAUUCUUUAACAAAUUUGCAGUACAAAAUUAUGUAUAUCAUAGCUCCUAUUGUAUUAUCACUCUCUAACUAUAUUACAUACUCAUAUUAUUUACCUUUUGUUACCCUUCACCUAGGUUUUGUUUCUGUUAACUUCUGCUUAUGAUGAUCCUAUAAAAGAGAAACCUCCAAGGCACCCUAUGAUCAACUACUUUACUCAGGUCUUGUAGACAGGGCCAUAGCUUCCUUGAUCAAGUCCAUCCAUCUGGAAUAGGGUCUUCAUCUUUUCCCAAUGCCUUCUGCCUUGGCAAGUAUUAUUUUAACAUCUUCUCACAAUAUGGCUCAAUUACGACAGUCACAGUUUAGUCAUUGUGACCUCUAGGAAGAGUUCAGGCUUCAUUUACUCUAGAAUCUAUUUAUUGGGGUUUAUUUAGCAAUCCAUGGUAUCCAUACAACUCUUUUCCAGCACCACAUUCAAAAUGUAUUGAUUUUAUGACCAUUUGUGUACAAUGAAAAUAGAUUUUUUUAAAUGUUAAUUUCUGUUAGGUGCAUUUAGGUUGCAGUGGUAAGUUCCACUGAAAUCAAUGGGACUUCU